RNAcentral lists this ribosomal RNA (462 nucleotides) under uncultured bacterium. RNAcentral describes it as "bacterial SSU rRNA". It matches the Rfam family "Bacterial small subunit ribosomal RNA", at positions 343 to 797 of the family's 1533-position model. The record is from RNAcentral.
AGGAGGCAGCAGUGGGGAAUUUUGGACAAUGGGGGCAACCCUGAUCCAGCCAUUCCGCGUGAGUGAAGAAGGCCUUCGGGUUGUAAAGCUCUUUCGGCAGGAACGAAACGGCGGGCUCUAACAUAGCCUGCUAAUGACGGUACCUGAAGAAGAAGCACCGGCUAACUACGUGCCAGCAGCCGCGGUAAUACGUAGGGUGCGAGCGCUAAUCGGAAUUACUGGGCGUAAAGCGUGCGCAGGCGGUUUUGUAAGACAGAUGUGAAAUCCCCGGGCUUGACCUGGGAACUGCGUUUGUGACUGCAAGACUUGAGUGCGGCAGAGGGGGGUGGAAUUCCACGUGUAGCAGUGAAAUGCGUAGAGAUGUGGAGGAACACCGAUGGCGAAGGCAGCCCCCUGGGUCGACACUGACGCUCAUGCACGAAGGCGUGGGUAGCAAACAGGAUUAGAUACCCCUGUAGUCCC